RNAcentral lists this transfer RNA (73 nucleotides) under Chitinophagaceae bacterium. RNAcentral's name for it is "tRNA-Thr". It matches the Rfam family "tRNA". Rfam says of the family: Transfer RNA (tRNA) molecules are approximately 80 nucleotides in length. Their secondary structure includes four short double-helical elements and three loops (D, anti-codon, and T loops). Further hydrogen bonds mediate the characteristic L-shaped molecular structure. tRNAs have two regions of fundamental functional importance: the anti-codon, which is responsible for specific mRNA codon recognition, and the 3' end, to which the tRNAs corresponding amino acid is attached (by aminoacyl-tRNA synthetases). tRNAs cope with the degeneracy of the genetic code in two manners: having more than one tRNA (with a specific anti-codon) for a particular amino acid; and 'wobble' base-pairing, i.e. permitting non-standard base-pairing at the 3rd anti-codon position. Lineage: Bacteria; Pseudomonadati; Bacteroidota; Chitinophagia; Chitinophagales; Chitinophagaceae. RNAcentral also lists the same sequence under 1 other name. The record is from RNAcentral.
GCCGAAGUAGCUCAGUUGGUAGAGCAACUGAUUUGUAAUCAGUAGGUCGCGGGUUCGACUCCCAUCUUCGGCU